AAUCAACGCUGGCGGCGCGCUUAACACAUGCAAGUCGCACGAGAAAGCCGCAAGGCAAGUACAGUGGCGCACGGGUGAGUAACACGUGGAUGAUCUACCUUUUCGUGGGGAAUACCGUUGGGAAACCGACGACAAUACCGCAUAAGCUCGAGAGAGGAAAGCGUUUUUAUGAAAGUAGAGACGCGCGGAAAGAGGAGUCCGCGGCUGAUUAGCUAGUUGGUGGGGUAAAGGCUCACCAAGGCAGUGAUCGGUAGCCGGCCUGAGAGGGCACACGGCC
RNAcentral lists this ribosomal RNA (277 nucleotides) under uncultured bacterium. Its description in RNAcentral is "partial 16S ribosomal RNA". It matches the Rfam family "Bacterial small subunit ribosomal RNA", at positions 32 to 309 of the family's 1533-position model. The record is from RNAcentral.